CAGCAGAAGUAGGUUCACGUUCAUCUAUCAUUACCCUCGUUCCUUGGGAGUGACAAAAUGGACUGGAUAAUCAGUGCUACAUUAUUCUUGUCAGUGUUAAAUGCUGCACUUGGUUUCAAUAUUGAUCCCGUGGCUUGGAAGACCCUGAGUAACUCUGCUGCUGGUUUUGGCUACCAGGUGGUGCAAAGACAAUCAGAUUUGCUCAUCAGUGCUCCACUGGAACAGCAUUCACAAAAUGGAAGAGGGAAAAUAUACAGCUGCAAAACCUCUUCCCAAAACUGCCAAAAUAUACAGUUUCAAG
This is a long non-coding RNA of Pundamilia nyererei, 301 nucleotides long. RefSeq lists it as uncharacterized. Lineage: Eukaryota; Metazoa; Chordata; Actinopteri; Cichliformes; Cichlidae. The record is from RefSeq and is a predicted model, not a curated record. The transcript has 3 exons.